UCUAAGGACUAUCUAUAUCCGAGUUCUCAAAAUAAUCUCUAAACUCAUCUCUAGGCGCACACUUUUUAAUUCCAAGACGUGCAUCUUCCCAAUCUUUUAAGCAAAUAAGACAAUCUAAAAUAUCCGGAGCUAAUUUACUUCUCCUCUCAUCUAAAACUCUAUUACCUGCACUAAAAGCAGAUUCGGAUGCAACUGAAGAGGCAGGAGGUGUAAG
Molecule: long non-coding RNA, 214 nt
Filed under: Actinidia chinensis (golden kiwifruit)
Lineage: Eukaryota; Viridiplantae; Streptophyta; Magnoliopsida; Ericales; Actinidiaceae
Description: long non-coding RNA (ACHI_LNC004436)
Source: RNAcentral